This 84-nucleotide transfer RNA is filed under the name Echinostoma caproni. It matches the Rfam family "tRNA". Rfam says of the family: Transfer RNA (tRNA) molecules are approximately 80 nucleotides in length. Their secondary structure includes four short double-helical elements and three loops (D, anti-codon, and T loops). The record is from Rfam by way of RNAcentral. Lineage: Eukaryota; Metazoa; Platyhelminthes; Trematoda; Plagiorchiida; Echinostomatidae.
GGUCUAGUAGCUCAGCUGAUAGAGCGUGAGCUGUACAAAAGCGUAUGCAAAGUCCAUCCGUGGGUUUGAAUCCCACCGAGGCUU